This 1220-nucleotide ribosomal RNA is filed under the name metagenome. RNAcentral's name for it is "bacterial LSU rRNA". It matches the Rfam family "Bacterial large subunit ribosomal RNA", at positions 1564 to 2794 of the family's 2925-position model. The record is from RNAcentral.
UGAGUACGAGAUGCUACGGCAUCGAAGCAGUCUAUGUCAUACUUCCAAGAAAAGCUUGCACUGUCAGAAACAGAUAAUGCCUGUACCAUAACCGACACAGGUGGGUAGGUAGAGUAUACUAAGGGGCGCGAGAUAACUCUCUCUAAGGAACUCGGCAAAAUGACUCCGUAACUUCGGGAGAAGGAGUGCCUUAUUUUUAAGGUUGCAAUAACAAGAUCCAAGCAACUGUUUACCAAAAACACAGGUCUCCGCUAAGUCGUAAGACGAUGUAUGGGGGCUGACGCCUGCCCAGUGCCAGAAGGUUAAAGAAGUCGGUUAGCAUUCGCGAAGCUGGUAACUGAAGCCCUGGUGAACGGCGGCCGUAACGAUAACGGUCCUAAGGUAGCGAAAUUCCUUGUCGGGUAAGUUCCGACCCGCACGAAAGGCGUAAUGAUUUGGAUACUGUCUCGGAGAGGGGCUCGGUGAAAUAGACUUGUCUGUGAAGAUGCGGACUACCUGCACCUGGACAGAAAGACCCUAUGAAGCUUUACUGUAACUUGAAAUUGAAAUUGGACUUUAUUUGCGCAGUAUAGGUGGGAGGCGUUGAAAAUAUUCUUGCGGGAAUAUUGGAGCCAUCAGUGAGAUACCACUCUUGUAAUGUUAGAUUUCUAACUUUAUAUCAUUAUCUGGUUAAAGAACAGUUUCAGGCGGGCAGUUUGACUGGGGCGGUCGCCUCCCAAAUGGUAACGGAGGCGCACAAAGGUUUCCUCUGAACGGGUAGAAAUCGUAUCUAGAGUGUAAAGGCAUAAGGAAGCUUGACUGUGAGACCUACAAGUCGAGCAGGGACGAAAGUCGGUCUUAGUGAUCUGACGGUGCUGAGUGGAAAGGCCGUCACUCAACGGAUAAAAGUUACUCUAGGAUAACAGGCUGAUCUCCCCCAAGAGUUCACAUCGACGGGGAGGUUUGGCACCUCGAUGUCGGCUCAUCGCAUCCUGGGGCGGUAGUACGUCCCAAGGGUUGGGCUGUUCGCCCAUGAAAGCGGUACGCGAGCUGGGUUCAGAACGUCGUGAGACAGUUCGGUCCAUAUCCGGUGUAGGCGUUAGAAUAUUGAGAGGAGCCUUCUUUAGUACGAGAGGACCGAGAAGGACAUACCUCUGGUGUACCAGUUAUCGUGCCAACGGUAAACGCUGGGUAGCUAUGUAUGGAGUGGAUAACCGCUGAAAGCAUCUAAGUGGGAAGCC